UACGUAGGAGGCAAGCGUUGUCCGGAAUCACUGGGCGUAAAGGGCGCGUAGGCGGCAAUUCAAGUCAUCUGUGAAAUCUCCGGGCUUAACUCGGAACGGUCAGAUGAUACUGCUUUGCUAGAGUGCGGAAGGGGCAAUCGGAAUUCUUGGUGUAGCGGUGAAAUGCGUAGAUAUCAAGAGGAACACCUGAGGUGAAGACGGGUUGCUGGGCCGACACUGACGCUGAGUGCGCGAAAGCCAGGGGAGCAAACGGG
RNAcentral lists this ribosomal RNA (254 nucleotides) under uncultured bacterium. RNAcentral describes it as "partial 16S ribosomal RNA". It matches the Rfam family "Bacterial small subunit ribosomal RNA", at positions 524 to 776 of the family's 1533-position model. The record is from RNAcentral.